CAGAUAUACAAAAUAGCUAGAUAUAAACCAGAGUCAUCUGAAGCUACAUAAGAUAUGCAUUGUUAUAUACUUUAUGUAUGGAUCAAAUUUAGUAUAUUAGUCAGAACAUGGAUUGAAGAGAUCCUUUGUGUAUCUGCAAGAAUAAGAAAGCAUUUUCCUCUAUUGUUAUAUGUUGAUAGCUUAAAGAGGUCAGGAGUGAUUACAUGAAAUUUACUGACAAUGUAAAACUUUAUAGUAAUUGUUAUGAAGAUAUAUUGUGCAGUAAUCGUGAUAAAUUAAAUAUGCUCUGGAUAUAAUUUAAUAGGGAUCACCAUUGGGCUUAUGGGGAUUGUGGUCUUUUGAAUGGAGGGACUGAGUGGGUUCAAUACAAGAUAUUUGGUGGUUGUUAAGGGAUUGAAGCCUUACGACAUUGAAGUCUAAUUUUGAUAAACACCCUCAACCACUAACACUUCUUUUUUCUUUCCAUUGGCUGGAUUUUUUUAUUUGUUUUCAUUUCAAAUUCAUUGGGGCUUUGAAACCAGUUAUUUGAUGUUCUUUCAUUUUAAUUUACAGGCCUUCUUUUCUAUUCUUGAAGUGGUAACAUCUUCAACUUUGUUACCAUAUUGUGUAUUUUCACUGAUUUCUCCAAUGUCUGGUCCUGCUUCAGCAAAUUCGAAGCUUAUGCGCUGGAAAAGAAGCAUGAAAGAUCAGAGCAAGUGUUAUCAGAAAGGGAACUCCAUAGUUGGCAAUUAUGAUCUUGAUUUUGCUGAAGGACUGUCGGCCAGUGGGUUAGGUGAGAACAAGAAUGAGGACAGUAAAAACUUGAAGGAGAAGGAGGAAGAUCCACAGUCGAUUGUAAGGAGGACAGUAGACAGUUUAUCCUGAGGUGGAAGCUUGAAACUAGAUAUCUUACCUCCAAUUUUCCCAAUUCAGGUAUCACCUGCAUCUAAAAUUUAAGUCCUGCAUUGUCUCUGCUGCUCCUUGGGCAUGUCCCUAUUACAUUACCUAAAAAUAAAAUAAAUAAAAUCUUGAUAUAAAGUACUGCAUAUAUUAACAUGUAAUAUCUAAGUGUCACGUUUAGAACUGCAUUUCACGUGUCACAUGUGUAUCCAGGUUUUCUAUUUUUAUUGACAUUUUGAUUUUUGAUAUAGCCAAAUGGCAUAGUGUAAUUAUUUUAUUUUUCAUUUGUAUUGUAGAUACUUCUCAUUGCAAUGGUAAUCUUUGGGUGACAACGGAACAAUAUGUCUUUCAAACUUCUGCCUCAUUAGGCAUGUAUAAUUUGCUUUAUCUUCCUAUGUUCAUUUCCUUACAUGUUUUUAAUGAAACUUUUUUCUCCAUGAAAUGCAGAUAUACAAAAUAGCUAGAUAUAAACCAGAGUCAUCUGAAGCUACAUAAGAUAUGCAUUGUUAUAUACUUUAUGUAUGGAUCAAAUUUAGUAUAUUAGUCAGAACAUGGAUUGAAGAGAUCCUUUGUGUGUCUGCAAGAAUAAGAAAGCAUUUUCCUCUAUUGUUAUAUGUUGAUAGCUUAAAGAGGUCAGGAGUGAUUACAUGAAAUUUACUGACAAUGUAAAACUUUAUAGUAAUUGUUAUGAAGAUAUAUUGUGCAGUAAUCGUGAUAAAUUAAAUAUGCUCUGGAUAUAAUUUAAUAGGGAUCACCAUUGGGCUUAUGGGGAUUGUGGUCUUUUGAAUGGAGGGACUGAGUGGGUUCAAUACAAGAUAUUUGGUGGUUGUUAAGGGAUUGAAGCCUUACGACAUUGAAGUCUAAUUUUGAUAAACACCCUCAACCACUAACACUUCUUUUUUCUUUCCAUUGGCUGGAUUUUUUUAUUUGUUUUCAUUUCAAAUUCAUUGGGGCUUUGAAACCAGUUAUUUGAUGUUCUUUCAUUUUAAUUUACAGGCCUUCUUUUCUAUUCUUGAAGUGGUAACAUCU
Molecule: long non-coding RNA, 1908 nt
Filed under: Lotus japonicus
Lineage: Eukaryota; Viridiplantae; Streptophyta; Magnoliopsida; Fabales; Fabaceae
Description: long non-coding RNA (LJAP_LNC000369)
Source: RNAcentral